GUCCCAGCCGCCGCGGUAAUACGGAGGAUGCGAGCGUUACCCGGAUUUAUUGGGUUUAAAGGGUGCGUAGGCUGUUAUAUAAGUCAGUGGUGAAAUAUUCGGGCUCAACCGGGAUACUGCCAUUGAUACUGUAUAGCUGGAGUAUGGUUGCUGUGGGUGGAAUGUGUGGUGUAGCGGUGAAAUGCAUAGAUAUCACACAGAAUAUCGAUUGCGAAGGCAACUCACAAAGCCAUUAUUGACGCUGAUGCACGAAAGUGUGGGGAUCAAACAGGAUUAGAUACCCUGGUAGUCCACACUGUAAACGAUGAUAACUAGCUGUCGGCGAUAGAUAGUCGGUGGCUAAGCGAAAGCGAUAAGUUAUCCACCUGGGGAGUACGACCGCAAGGUUGAAACUCAAAGGAAUUGACGGGGGCCCGCACAAGCGGAGGAACAUGUGGUUUAAUUCGAUGAUACGCGAGGAACCUUACCCGGGCUCGAACGGUGCAGGAAUAUGGUAGAGAUAUCAUAGCUAGCAAUAGUCUGUAUCGAGGUGCUGCAUGGUUGUCGUCAGCUCGUGCCGUGAGGUGUCGGCUUAAGUGCCAUAACGAGCGCAACCCUUGUCGUUAGUUACCAUCAAGUAAAGUUGGGGACUCUAGCGAGACUGCCACCGUAAGGUGUGAGGAAGGGGGGGAUGACGUCAAAUCAGCACGGCCCUUACGUCCGGGGCGACACACGUGUUACAAUGGUAGGUACAGAGGGGCGCUAUCCAGUGAUGGAGUGCGAAUCUCAAAAACCUAUCUCAGUUCGGAUUGGAGUCUGCAACUCGACUCCAUGAAGUUGGAUUCGCUAGUAAUCGCGCAUCAGCCAUGGCGCGGUGAAUACGUUCCCGGGCCUUGUACACACCGCCCGUCAAGCCAUGGA
RNAcentral lists this ribosomal RNA (900 nucleotides) under uncultured Bacteroides sp. RNAcentral's name for it is "bacterial SSU rRNA". It matches the Rfam family "Bacterial small subunit ribosomal RNA", at positions 505 to 1408 of the family's 1533-position model. The record is from RNAcentral. Lineage: Bacteria; Pseudomonadati; Bacteroidota; Bacteroidia; Bacteroidales; Bacteroidaceae.